RNAcentral lists this ribosomal RNA (443 nucleotides) under uncultured bacterium. RNAcentral describes it as "partial 16S ribosomal RNA". It matches the Rfam family "Bacterial small subunit ribosomal RNA", at positions 338 to 795 of the family's 1533-position model. The record is from RNAcentral.
CCUACGGGGGGCUGCAGUGGGGAAUAUUGGGCAAUGGGCGCAAGCCUGACCCAGCAACGCCGCGUGAAGGAAGAAGGCUUUCGGGUUGUAAACUUCUUUUCUCAGGGACGAAGCAAGUGACGGUACCGGAGGAAUAAGCCACGGCUAACUACGUGCCAGCAGCCGCGGUAAUACGUAGGUGGCAAGCGUUAUCCGGAUUUACUGGGUGUAAAGGGCGUGUAGGCGGGGACGCAAGUCAGAUGUGAAAACCACGGGCUCCACCUGUGGCCUGCAUUUGAAACUGUGUUUCUUGAGUACUGGAGCGGCAGACGGAAUUCCUAGUGUAGCGGUGAAAUGCGUAGAUAUUAGGCGGAACACCAGUGGCGACGGCGGUCUGCUGGACAGCACCUGACGCUGAGGCGCGACAGCGUGGGGAGCAAACAGGAUUAGAUACCCUUGUAGUC